Rhineura floridana is the source of this 304-nucleotide long non-coding RNA. RefSeq lists it as uncharacterized. The record is from RefSeq and is a predicted model, not a curated record. The transcript has 3 exons. Lineage: Eukaryota; Metazoa; Chordata; Lepidosauria; Squamata; Rhineuridae.
CAUGAGAGAUCACCCUAUGGCCUCACACACCAUGAGGUGGCCACAAGGAAUAAGCUGAAGCUGAACCCUGACAAAACCAAGAAUGAUGCAGAAACAAGAUGGAACAGACUUAUGAAUGAACACAUGUGAAACUGACCAUGGUCCAGAAACAGACUGAUCCACUAACCCCAAAUGAUAUCAGUAUUUACAAUAUGGGGGAGCUCUGUUAUGCAACUGCAGAGACAUGCUGUGGACCACCUGAACGAAGCUUGAGGACCACCAGUGGUCCACGGACCACAGUUUGGGAACCCCGGGUGUAGGCAAC